Molecule: small RNA, 95 nt
Filed under: Arabidopsis thaliana (thale cress)
Lineage: Eukaryota; Viridiplantae; Streptophyta; Magnoliopsida; Brassicales; Brassicaceae
Description: ATSL121860
Source: RNAcentral
AACAGUAACAAAAAUCAUUGACAUGACUACUAUGUCAAAAAAUAGCAAAAUAACAGAAUAACAGAAUAACUAGCAGAGCGAACUAGCUGGACAAA